UCUUUUUUUUUUUUUUUUUUGACAGAGUCUCGCUUUGUCACCCAGGCUGGAGUGCAGUGGGGUGAUCUCGGCUCACUGCAGCCUCCACCUCCCAGGUUCAAGCGAUUCUCGUGCCUCUGCAUCCUGAAUAGCUGGGAUUACAGGUGUGCACCACCACAUCCUGCUGAUUUUUGUAUUUUGAGAGAUGGGGUUUUGGCACGUUGGCCAAGCUGGUCUCGAACUCCUGGCUUCAAGCAGUCCACCCACCUUGGCCUCCCAAAGUGCUGGAAUUACAGGCGUGCACCACCACGCCCGGCCAGAUCUUCAUAUAUCUAAGAUCCUGUCAAGAAGACAUGGUAAACCUCAUCAUGAUCAAGAAUGAGACUUUGCUUGCAUCCAGGCUUCCCAAAAGUUGUUUGAUAGUAUACAGGCAUGAGAUGGUGUGACUCUAACUCAUUAGAUGCCUUCGUCUUUUCAGUCAUCAUGUGAUGGAAAGAAAGCUAUCAACUUCAUUCCUGAGACUUCCUGCAACACAGAUCCAUCUAAACUUUUACUUCAUUGGAGGGUCCUUCCUGACCCAUGCAACUCAACAAAAAACUCUCACAGUUUUUAUAUGCUUUGUUGGGGAUUAACCCAUCUUGCAUUGCAUUGCUAGCUUAGUAUGUCUAGCAUGGGCAUGCCUGCUGAAGUUUGGAACUUCCCAUCAAGGAAACAGGAAAAUGCCAUUGGCAAUGAGCUGAAGACUGAUUUACUCUACCAGUUUGGAACAUCUGUUAUUGCUGCUACUACGGUUUCUAUCACUGUUUGAUGCUGGGACUCUUAAGCUCCAACCACGUUUUCACCGAGCUGAGUCGCCUUCUUAUCACCCCUUUCUGGAGCAGCAGGACAUCUGGGGAUGAGAAGAUGGAGAGAUCAUCCUUAUAUAAUGUUGCAGUCUGGAAGCAUCACUCUCAAAAAGCCAUUGUAGAGAAUCCAAGCCGAGUUUAAGAGUGCUGUGGAAAUACACUGCUGCUACUGCUGUUUCUAUUACUGUUUGAUGCUGGGACUCUUAUGCUCCAACCACGUUUUCACCCAGCUGAGUCGCCUUCGUAUCACGCCUUUCCAGUUUUGAUAGACUAGAAAAAUGACAAGACUCCAAGUCCUUGAAGAGGAGGAAAAGUGUGAAGAAAACAAAAAAGGGAGAUUUAUGUCUGCUUCACCAUUUUGCCCAAGACUUGACCUGUCAUACACUGAAGCUCAGAGAGGAAGAAAGGACCGUGUGAGAGAAGAAGGGAACAGCCUUUCAUCCAUAGGAGAAGUUCGUCUAUGACAAAGCCACUAGCUCCAUGUGGCCGCUGAGCACUCAAAAUGUGGCCAGUCUGAAUUGAGAUAUGUUGUUAGUAUAAAGUCCACAUCGGCUUUUUGAGCACUUUGUAUGAGAAAAAAGAAUACCAAAUAUCUCCUUAAUAAUUGUUACAUUGAUUAUAUGUUGAACUGAUAACAUUAUGGAUAUAUUGGAUUAAAUAAAAUAAAUUAUUAAAAUCAAAUAAAAAAUAAAAUCAA
Molecule: long non-coding RNA, 1521 nt
Organism: Homo sapiens (human)
Lineage: Eukaryota; Metazoa; Chordata; Mammalia; Primates; Hominidae
Product: long intergenic non-protein coding RNA 1203
Source: Ensembl